UUUGUUCGUUAGGCUCGCACUA
This 22-nucleotide microRNA is filed under the name Brachionus plicatilis. RNAcentral's name for it is "Bpl-Mir-375_3p (mature (guide))". RNAcentral also lists the same sequence under 1 other name. Lineage: Eukaryota; Metazoa; Rotifera; Eurotatoria; Ploima; Brachionidae. The record is from RNAcentral.